UUGUUUUAUUCUUUUCUUGUGAGUUUUUAGUGUCAUGUCGAGGGGGGAGGUCUUGUCUAGAUAGCUAUUUCCACUUUUGAGUCUUUUCUUCACUUCAUACUUGAGGGCAAGUAUGAUUCAAGUGUGGGGGAUUUGAUGGGUGUGUUUUAGUUAUUUAUAUUCGUGUUGUUUGCCAUGGAUUAUAUUCGAUAUUACCCAUGUUGUGGUGCUUUUGGCGCAGGAAUUAGAUGGAUUGGAGAUGGAUCUCGUGGAUG
RNAcentral lists this long non-coding RNA (254 nucleotides) under Salvia miltiorrhiza (redroot sage). Its description in RNAcentral is "long non-coding RNA (SMIL_LNC014116)". Lineage: Eukaryota; Viridiplantae; Streptophyta; Magnoliopsida; Lamiales; Lamiaceae. The record is from RNAcentral.